RNAcentral lists this ribosomal RNA (1151 nucleotides) under Escherichia coli. RNAcentral describes it as "bacterial LSU rRNA". It matches the Rfam family "Bacterial large subunit ribosomal RNA", at positions 1 to 1194 of the family's 2925-position model. Lineage: Bacteria; Pseudomonadati; Pseudomonadota; Gammaproteobacteria; Enterobacterales; Enterobacteriaceae. The record is from RNAcentral.
GUUAAGCGACUAAGCGUACACGGUGGAUGCCCUGGCAGUCAGAGGCGAUGAAGGACGUGCUAAUCUGCGAUAAGCGUCGGUAAGGUGAUAUGAACCGUUAUAACCGGCGAUUUCCGAAUGGGGAAACCCAGUGUGAUUCGUCACACUAUCAUUAACUGAAUCCAUAGGUUAAUGAGGCGAACCGGGGGAACUGAAACAUCUAAGUACCCCGAGGAAAAGAAAUCAACCGAGAUUCCCCCAGUAGCGGCGAGCGAACGGGGAGCAGCCCAGAGCCUGAAUCAGUGUGUGUGUUAGUGGAAGCGUCUGGAAAGGCGCGCGAUACAGGGUGACAGCCCCGUACACAAAAAUGCACAUACUGUGAGCUCGAUGAGUAGGGCGGGACACGUGGUAUCCUGUCUGAAUAUGGGGGGACCAUCCUCCAAGGCUAAAUACUCCUGACUGACCGAUAGUGAACCAGUACCGUGAGGGAAAGGCGAAAAGAACCCCGGCGAGGGGAGUGAAAAAGAACCUGAAACCGUGUACGUACAAGCAGUGGGAGCACGCUUAGGCGUGUGACUGCGUACCUUUUGUAUAAUGGGUCAGCGACUUAUAUUCUGUAGCAAGGUUAACCGAAUAGGGGAGCCGAAGGGAAACCGAGUCUUAACUGGGCGUUAAGUUGCAGGGUAUAGACCCGAAACCCGGUGAUCUAGCCAUGGGCAGGUUGAAGGUUGGGUAACACUAACUGGAGGACCGAACCGACUAAUGUUGAAAAAUUAGCGGAUGACUUGUGGCUGGGGGUGAAAGGCCAAUCAAACCGGGAGAUAGCUGGUUCUCCCCGAAAGCUAUUUAGGUAGCGCCUCGUGAAUUCAUCUCCGGGGGUAGAGCACUGUUUCGGCAAGGGGGUCAUCCCGACUUACCAACCCGAUGCAAACUGCGAAUACCGGAGAAUGUUAUCACGGGAGACACACGGCGGGUGCUAACGUCCGUCGUGAAGAGGGAAACAACCCAGACCGCCAGCUAAGGUCCCAAAGUCAUGGUUAAGUGGGAAACGAUGUGGGAAGGCCCAGACAGCCAGGAUGUUGGCUUAGAAGCAGCCAUCAUUUAAAGAAAGCGUAAUAGCUCACUGGUCGAGUCGGCCUGCGCGGAAGAUGUAACGGGGCUAAACCAUGCAC